UUGAACGCUGGCGGCAGGCCUAACACAUGCCAGUCGAGCGGAUGAAGGGAGCUUGCUCCUGGAUUCAGCGGCGGACGGGUGAGUAAUGCCUAGGAAUCUGCCUGGUAGUGGGGGAUAACGUCCGGAAACGGGCGCUAAUACCGCAUACGUCCUGAGGGAGAAAGUGGGGGAUCUUCGUACCUCACGCUAUCAGAUGAGCCUAGGUCGGAUUAGCUAGUUGGUGGGGUAAAGGCCUACCAAGGCGACGAUCCGUAACUGGUCUGAGAGGAUGAUCAGUCACACUGGAACUGAGACACGGUCCAGACUCCUACGGGAGGCAGCAGUGGGGAAUAUUGGACAAUGGGCGAAAGCCUGAUCCAGCCAUGCCGCGUGUGUGAAGAAGGUCUUCGGAUUGUAAAGCACUUUAAGUUGGGAGGAAGGGCAGUAAGUUAAUACCUUGCUGUUUUGACGUUACCAACAGAAUAAGCACCGGCUAACUUCGUG
Molecule: ribosomal RNA, 483 nt
Filed under: uncultured bacterium
Lineage: Bacteria
Description: partial 16S ribosomal RNA
Rfam family: Bacterial small subunit ribosomal RNA
Source: RNAcentral